UACGUAGGGUGCAGGCGUUAAUCGGAAUUACUGGGCGUAAAGCGUGCGCAGGCGGUUUGCUAAGACAGGUGUGAAAUCCCCGGGCUCAACCUGGGAACUGCGUUUGUGACUGUAUGACUAGAGUACGGUAGAGAGGGGUGGAAUUCCUGGUGUAGCAGUGAAAUGCGUAGAUAUCAGGAGGAACAUCGAUGGCGAAGGCAGCCCCUUGGACCUGUACUGACGCUCAUGCACGAAAGCGUGGGGAGCAAACAGG
RNAcentral lists this ribosomal RNA (253 nucleotides) under uncultured bacterium. RNAcentral's name for it is "partial 16S ribosomal RNA". It matches the Rfam family "Bacterial small subunit ribosomal RNA", at positions 524 to 776 of the family's 1533-position model. The record is from RNAcentral.